GAAGAGCUCUAAGCUCCCAGGGUUCCCAGCCCUUACGAGCGAUCGGCGGGUCGCUCUCAUGGGGCCCACUGCAGGUGAGUUGUCGGUGGAAUCGAGCGCCUCUGGUUGGCGGUUCCGUCCUGUCUCUUCUUCCCGUUCGCUUGCCUCACCGCCUAUCGUUCCCCCGCCGCUCCCCUUGCUCCGCCCCCAUCGUGUUCGUCUGCCCCCAUAAAAAAAGAUCCAGUGGAAUCCCUCUCUCUCCACUGUUCCCAGAUCCGCCAUUGCCCCCAUCCCCUCUAGGCAGUCUCAAGUGGCACCAUUGAUCUGCUCCAGCGUCUUCGAGCGGUACCAUCAUAGAGAGGAGUGCUAUGGCGAUCUCGAGCGCAUCCAGUACGAGGAGGACCUGCUCUGGCGAUGAGCGAUAAGCAACCAGUCCAGGGCCUGCGGGACAAGGGCAAGGAGGGGACACCUUCUACGUCAGUGAUCUUGUUGUGUGGCGGCUCCUUAUUCUGCUUGAUGACAGGACGUGUACCCACCCACGACAACCUGCAAUCAUAUUGUGAUUUCCUCUCUUCUCUCUCUCGUGACCCCUGGGUUACUCUUUUUUUUAUCUCAUUUGUAUGAUCAGAUUUGUAUGUGUUGAUUUUGAUGACAUUAAACUCAAGGUUGACCAAAUUGGAGGAUUAAAAUCCAAGCUAAGCAAAAUUUGUUCGAUGAAAUGCCUUGCCCUGUUUUCUAGCUGAUGUGGAGAAUUCAUUUAUGAUUCUUGCUCUACACAUGACUUCUGGUUGCGUGGCUACUAGUCAGUAACUCUGUUUCCUGCUAGCCGGUGGCCUUUGUGCACCCUUGUGUGAUGCAUCUGCAAAAGGUUUAGAGUAACUAAUCUUGCAGUAUAUAACAUUGCUAAAAUCAAGUUUAACUCAACUUAUUCAGCAUACUUUACAUACCUAGGUUAAUAUAUCCUGCACACCUCCUAGAAACUGAAAAAGAAACUUAUUUGAGCGGAAUUAUGCCAUAUAUAACAAAGAGAACAUACAUAUGUUGUGAUGGUACUUGCAUAAGCUCAUUUAUUAUGGUUCAUUCAGUUUCAUUGCAUAUGAGCCAAUUUGUGUGUGUAGCCAUGUAGGUAUCUGUCAAGUAAGCCAGCAUUGGAACAACUCAACAAUCACCAAGAAGGUGAUACGAAUUACCAGUUCAACCUCAUAUCUGAUUGGUCAUAUUUUUAGUUUUGCAUAUGAACUUCUGGAUCGUGAAUAUGUCGCUGAUGUAAAUCUCCAUAGGCCUGCCACAAUGCUUUCAUAUUCUUUGUAGUUGUUUCUGCCACUUCUGACUUGAUGUAGUCUCAUAGAUGUGUGAUGCUGCAAGCUUCCUUUUCACCAGGAUAUUCAAGUAGUAAUUAACAUUGACAACUUCUACAUGCUUAUGUGCGCACAUAACCUGAGGGUUGCCUCCGCAGCACUCUCCACUGAGGCAUACUGUCCGGGCAUAUGUUUUCUUCUCACCAUGGUGACAUUGUGUAUGACGAGCUGCAAGGCAUCAACUGACGUGGGAUAUAAAGAAUCUGUGUGGCCUACAAACCAAGGUUCCUGCUUCAGAUCUCUAUAAGUAUUAGCUUCACAUAAUUGGAAUCGAUAACAUAUGAGAAAAACUGUACUUAACAAUUGUUCACACUGAGAAGAGUAUCUGAUAUCGGUCCUCAAUCCUAAGUAUUUAGUUUCCAUGGUCCUAAAUGGUUGUAGAAAAAUUGCACAGUUGUUUCUUCGAUGUGGAAUGACUUUGUUAACUGCAUUUUGAGUGUUUUGAGCAUUUUGUGUGCUAUAUAAAAAACCAUGCUUUGAGUAUAGGGCCAUUAAAGGCAAGGGCCUUCUUGGUUAAUGUAGUUCGUGUAUGUUCUUUUUGCGAGAAGAUCAUGUAUGGUUCACAUUUUUUUAAUCACGCGGUUAAUAUGUGUCUUGAAAGCACGAAGUACUUAGUCUCAUAUUUUCUGUUAGACUAAUAUUGAAAUAAGGAAACUGACAAUGAUGGACCCUCGUGGGAAUCUUUUGCUUCCUUGCAUUGCCGACUCGGGGGAAUUGCUGGCCAGAAGAGCGUGUCAAAGGCGGCAGAUGAGAGAUGAUUUGCUGUCAGGGAAGAGAUCGAGUUGUCGUAUCACCGGAUCUGAGGUCUGAGCCUAUGCAGGCAUCGCCUCCCUAUCUAGGGGUUGAGCUCCAGAUCCCGCCAAUUCUCUCACAUGUCGCCGUCUUUGCAAUAAAGAAAUGUUUCUUCUCGGCAUGUUCUACCUGCAGAUAAGGAGGAGCCAGGGGAUGCGCAUGCGGUAAGCAAGGUCGGUCCUGCGCCUCUCCGACCGAGCACACAGUAAGGCCAUUGAAGAUGCUGGUACAGUUUUCUGUUUAUAUGUUUAACGCCUCUUUUUUUAUGUGGAAAAUGAGUAAAUGACAACUCAAGACAGCUCCUUAGAGUACCUUUUCUAUCUUUAACCAUUUUAUCAAGACAAUGUUUCGUA
Molecule: long non-coding RNA, 2482 nt
Organism: Lolium perenne
Lineage: Eukaryota; Viridiplantae; Streptophyta; Magnoliopsida; Poales; Poaceae
Source: RefSeq, a predicted model, not a curated record